This 435-nucleotide ribosomal RNA is filed under the name uncultured bacterium. RNAcentral's name for it is "partial 16S ribosomal RNA". It matches the Rfam family "Bacterial small subunit ribosomal RNA", at positions 29 to 507 of the family's 1533-position model. The record is from RNAcentral.
AGCGAACGCUGGCGGCAGGCUUAACACAUGCAAGUCGAGCGGGCACUUUCGGGUGUCAGCGGCGGACGGGUGAGUAACGCGUGGGAACGUGCCCUCUGGUUCGGAAUAACUCAGGGAAACUUGAGCUAAUACCGGAUACGCCCUUUUGGGGAAAGGCUUGCUGCCGGAGGAUCGGCCCGCGUCUGAUUAGCUAGUUGGUGAGGUAACGGCUCACCAAGGCGACGAUCAGUAGCUGGUCUGAGAGGAUGAUCAGCCACACUGGGACUGGGACACGGCCCAGACUCCUACGGGAGGGAGCAGUGGGGAAUAUUGGACAAUGGGCGCAAGCCUGAUCCAGCCAUGCCGCGUGAGUGAUGAAGGCCUUAGGGUUGUAAAGCUCUUUUAUCCGGGACGAUAAUGACGGUACCGGAGGAAUAAGCCCCGGCUAACUUCGUG